UUGAAAGGAUUUGAGGAACAAAAGAUGGCCCAGAUUGGAAGUUCUCUCCUUGUGCCUUGUGUUCAAGAGUUGGUCAAGAAUCCGGCGUUAGUUGUCCCCGACAGAUACAUACGUCCAGAUCAAGAUUCACCCCUCAUUUCUGAUGAUAUUUUGAUUUCACAGAUACCAGUUAUUGACAUGCAAAGCUUACUUUCUAAAGAAUCAAUGGAUUCUGAGUUAGCCAAGCUCGACUUCGCAUGCAAAGAAUGGGGUUUUUUCCAGGUAUAAUGCUUUAGCAAAGUUAGAAAAUUGUUUCGCCAGAACAUGCUUGUUUGUGAUCAAGAAUCGAGAAAUAUGCAAAUUGUCAAUCAAAUAGGCAAAAUUAAAAUUCAUAUUUAUUUCUUAAACCCACGUAUCAUUGAUGUUAGCAGAUCAUGGUUUCACUUUCCAGUGUUGUCUGUGGCUUAGGACUGCAGCUUGUGAAAAGAAGAACUUGUCUCUGGUUUAUUUAUUAUUGACUUUCUAUAUUGCUUUACCUUUUCUCCCUCCAGGCAUGGUUUAAUUAGCUAUUUCAUUCCUAAAUGUCAAACAGGCAAUAUGUAUUAAAAAGAUUGUCUUGAGAAAUUUCACCUCCUCUGCCUCAAUAGCUUUUGGUACCUUAUGAGAAAUAUGCUUCUGUCAAAAUUUUAAAAGAUAUACUAUAGUAAAUUGUGUAAGACCUCUUAGAAAAUGUACUCAUUUCUGUAGUCAAUGUUGCAAAUUUACUUUAAUUUAAAGACAAUUAGAAGUAACAUUGAGAUUAUUUGCUGUUGUAUGAUUUUUCAAAUUCUAGGUGUGAACAAACCACAAGAACUUUAUGCUCAUUAUAGUUAUUCUAGAAUAACCAAAAUUUCUCCGAUAGAAUGAGUAGAAAACACCUGUGGAAACUAAUUGUUGGGAAGAUUUAAAUGUAACAAAUGCUUUUAGCCAUCUUUAAUGGUAAAUCUUAUCUCUAAAUCAGUCAGAUAAGUUGCAAUCUGUCUUAAUAAAACACCUGGACUAUUGUGCGCUUAGUGGCACGAUUAUUAAAUCUUUGCUGCAUUUCGUUCCUGUAUUUUUUUCAGCUGGUAAAUCAUGGAAUGAGCACAGCAUUUCUAGAGAAAUUAAAGAAAGAGGUUGAGGGAUUCUUCAAUCUCAGCAUGGAAGAAAAGAAAAAAUAUUGGCAGCGUCCAGGAGAUAUGGAAGGAUUUGGACAAGCCUUUGUUGUAUCGGAGGAACAAAAGCUUGAUUGGGCUGACCUUUUCUCCAUGAUGACUCUUCCAGUUCAUCUGAGGAAACCACAUUUAUUUCCUAAGCUCCCUCCUUCCCUCAGGUUCUCUCUCUCUCUCUCUCUGUGUCAAUGUCAUUUUGAUUUGCAAACAAAUAAAGGAUAGUGCAUCUUCUUUUCCUGUAGAGAGACCUUGGAAGUUUACUCAAUGGAAUUAAAAACCCUAGCCGAGAACCUAAUAUCGAAAAUGGGAGAAGUGUUAAAUAUCAAAGAUGAAGAAAUGAUAGAAUUCUUUGAAAAUGGACUGCAAGGAAUGAGGAUGAAUUAUUACCCUCCAUGUCCUCAGCCCGAGAAGGUUAUGGGCCUGUCGCCGCAUUCUGAUGCAGCUGCACUUACCAUUCUGCUACAACUUAAUGAAGUGGAGGGUCUCCAGGUAAAGAAGGAUGGAAAGUGGAUUCCUGUUACCCCACUCCCGGAUGCUUUCAUUGUCAACAUUGGAGACACAUUGGAGGUAAUAAUUAUAAUAAAUUACCUUAACCUGGCAUUUUUAUGCGCUUGCUUAUGUGCUUUAAUAAUUUUUACAUGGCAGAUUAUAACCAAUGGGACAUACCGCAGCAUUGAGCAUCGUGCAGUUGUAAACUCUGUACAGGAAAGACUUUCCGUUGCCACAGUUUACUCAGUGAGAUAUGAUGGUGAAGUGUAUCCUGCCUCCAGUUUGAUCUCUGAAAAAACUCCUCCUUUGUUUAGAAGAGUGAGAAUUGAAGAAUACUUUAGGAGCCGGUAUGCUCGUGAGCUUAGGGGAAAAUCUCAGUUGGAUUCCCUGAGAAUUCAACAUGGUCAAGGCUAGUAUAAGUUUAUUUUGGAUAACUAAAGAGUUUGGUACAAAAACUCUUAAGGACCUUGCUAUUAAGAUUGGCGUGGAACUGAAAAUAAGAAAUAAGUUCUAUGAAUACUGUGGUAUAACCUGCUAUGCUAGGGUCGUUGUGUAGCUCUAUCAUUUGAGAUACUGAAUAGACCAUGUAAGAAUCUUAAGAAUUGCAGACUUAUGCCUGGAAUCUUCCGAUGAUAUAUGGUGGUGCUUAUAUCAGAUCAGUAUCUUUCUUUCUUGAAAUAGAAUUUUUGCAUACCUGACUUGUUUUUAAUGAGAUUUCAAGGACUAUAUGACUUGGUUUCAAAUUUUUAUGAUACAUACAGAUAAUAUUACCACAGAACCAGUGUAGUUUCUGUAUCAGCCGUUAUAGUUUUCAGUUAAUAGUAACAAGUUUUUGAUUUUUAACAAGAAUGUUGUCCUUCCACGUCUUAAAUAUUCCGUUCCAUAACACACAUUGUGACGAAUACAUAACUUGUUACCAUUGACGAAAAAUUUUGCCAUCAAUAGCUGAAAAUAGAUGUUAGUUACACAAGCUGCAAAGCUAUAACUUUGGAUUUCAUAUUCAGAUUGUCCCUCUCAAAGUUGAACUUGGAACUACGGUUGAUGAUCUGCUAUUAUGCUGAGAAAAAUACAAGAUUUUUUUUUUGGUUGUCAUCAGACAAUGUAAAAGAAAUUAGCAUGGGAUCCAAAUUCUUGAGAGUUUGAUAAGGCAAUGCACUAUAUUUUUUUAUAACUCGCAGCAGACAGCAGCACAACAGCAGACUGCAACUGUCAUAUUCACAAAAUAUCUAUGGGCCAACCCUAGACCCGCAAUGGUGGAUUAGUCUCACACAAGGCCACAGCAAAUAAUGACUUGUAGAAAAUAAUACAUUUUCAACAUUUGCUUUGUCAAUAAAAAUCUGUAGCAUUAUUGUUGAGAGAAUUUGUGCAACAAAAAGAAGGCCAAGUUCGGAGGUUCUCUGCCUGUGCCUUGUGUUCAAGAGUUGGCCAAGAAUCCUAUGUUAGCUAUCCCCCCAGGUACAUACCACCACGCUAAGAUUUAACCACAAUUUCUGAUAAUAAUUUGGAUUCACGGGUAUUGCAGAGCUUGUUUUCUGAAGAGUCAAUGGAUUCUGAGUUGUCCAGGCUCCACUUCGCUAGCAAAGAAUGGGCUUCUUUCCAGGUAAAGUCCUUUGCCAAGUUAUUAUUAUUUUGCUUUUAAAGGAUUUGCUUGGGAUGAGACCUCAUCUACUAAAUACCACCCUUUGUCCCAUAUUGUUACUCGAGCGCAGAUAUCUGCAAAUUGCGAAUUACAUUCACAACCAGCUAAGCUACACCUGCCGUGAGGCACCCAAGUUUGUACUUUUUCAUUUGGACAUGCUUGGUUUGUUAAUAGUAGUCUGGGGUCAAGAAUUAAGAAAUCUGUAUACUCUCAAUCAAAGAGCACAGUCGAUCAAAUUCAGAUUAGAUUAUGUUCCAUUCUUAUAGGUCAAGUAGGCCACAAAUUUGGCCUACUCUGUAUCAAUGCUUUCUUACACUGUAAGUUAGCAAUAAGAAAGCUGUAACAAAAUUUGAGUCUACGUAGUCUUAACCAAGCCGGUUUAAGCACUCUUUUUUUUAAAAAAAAAAACAUUGAGGGAUGUAACUGACCUUGUCCGAUUAUGGACCCAUCUAACUUGCUUUCUUGUAUGGCUGAGAAGAAAAACCUGCAUUCUUGAAAAUUAAAUUGUCUUUAAUAUCUUUCAGAUGUCUAGGCUUGCGGUAGCUUGAGAAGAACUAUAAGCAAAUUUAUGAUGGAGUAUAAUGCAAAUGCGAUUCUAUUAGUUUAUUGAAAUCUAACAAAUACUUUUAUUCAUCGCACUCAGUAAAUUUUGCCUGAAUUAGUCCAAUAAGUUGUACUCUGUCUCAGCAAAAUACCUUGACCAAAAUAAAAAACGUAGUGACACGAUUGUUAAUGUCUUAGCUGUUUUUCUGUUUCUGAAUUGUUUCAGCUGGUAAAUCAUGGAGUGAGCCCUGCAUUUCUAGAGAACGUAAAGAAAGAGAUUCCGGAAUUCUUCAAUCUAAGCAUGAAAAAAAAAAAAUUGGCGGUCUCCAGGAGCUGUGGAAGGAUUUGGACAAGCAUUUGUUGUAUCCGAGGAACAAAAGCUUGAUUGGAAUAACAUUUUCUUCAUGACAACUCUUCCAGUUCAUCUGAGGAAACCCCACUUGUUUCCUAAGCUCCCUCUUUUCCCCCUCAAGUUUCUCUCUCUCUAGGCAGUUAUUUGAUGAUUGCAAAUGUAUUAUGUUCAGAGAAAGAUCCCAAGUCAGUUAUAUUUAGCAAAAUUUGACAACCAAACAUGAUUUUGAAAGAAUACUGCUAAAUAAUAACUUAUUUAACAAUCCACCACAAUCAUGUACUAAACCUUCUAAUUGCGUCUUCUUUUUUCUUGUAGGAAAUUUUGGAAUUUAUUCAGUGGAGUUAAAAAUCUUUGGCCAUGAACCUGGUAUCGAAAAUGGGAAAAGUUUUAAAUAUCAAAGACGAAGAAUUGAGAGAAUACUUUGAAAAUGGUUUCCAAUCAAUGGGGAUGAACUAUUACCCUCCAUGUCCUUAGCCGGAGAAGGUUGUGGGCCUCACAACUCAUUGUGAUGACUCUGCUCUUACCAUUCUGCUGGAAAUCAAUGAAGUAGAAGGCCUCCAGAUCAAGAAGGAUGGAAAGUGGAUUCCUGUUACACCUUUCCCAAAUGCUUUCGUUGUCAACAUUGGAUAUGUGUUGGAGGUAAUUAUUAUGAUAAGUUAUUUUAACUUGACAUUCAUAUGAGCUAGCUAAUGUGUGCUUUCAUUAAUUCAUGUUGCUCCACUUCCUAAUGCUUUCAUUGGAGACACAUUGGAGGUAAUAAUUAUAGUAAAUUACUUAACUUGGCAUUUAUAUGCGCAUGCUCAUGUGCUUUAAUAAUUUUUACAUGGCAGAUUAUAACCAAUGGGACAUACCGUAGCAUUGAGCAUCAUGUAAUUGUAAACUCUGUACAAGGAAGACUUUCCAUUGGCACAGUUUACUCAGUGAGGUAUGAUGGUGAAAUGUACCCUGCGUCCAAUUUGGUCUCUGAAAAUACUCCUUCAUUGUUUAAAAGAGUGAAAGUUGAAGAAUAAUUUCAGGAAUCUGUGUGCUCGUAAGCUUAGGGGAAAAUCUCAUCUGGAUGCCUUGAGAAUUGAACAUGUUCAAGAUUAUUAUAAGUUUAUUUUGGAUAACUAAAGAGUGUAGUACAAAAACCGUGGGGGACCUUGCUAUUACAAUUGUGUGUGGAACUAAAAAUAAGAAAUAAGUGUAAGAACAAUAAAUCCUUUGGUGAAAAUCAUCACCUCAAUUUAGGAACAUGUAUGUUGUAUCACCAAAAAUUAAUAAUAGAAUAUGCGGCAGUGUACCUAAGUUCAUAAUGCACAAUUGCUCUUUAGAGCCGAGUAGUUUGUCUUCCAAAUAAACAUGUUCUCCUAAAGAAUUCUUUAAACUUCUCUAUACUGUCUCUUUAAUGAUGAGAUGUCAAUAGAGAAUAGAACAAUACGUGUGACCUAUGGAUAAUAACUACUUAUAUAUAUAGAUUUUCCUUUUGUUUUUAGGUAUUCUUAUUUCAACCCAUUAUAAAAAUCAAAAUUAGUCUUAAGUCUCUAUACAUUAAAGGCCCACAAUCUAUUAGAUACAUUAAAACCCAAAUUACCGAAAACCUUAAUAGACCAAUUUUAAUUUGGCUUAGAGUUAGACUAUUGGCACCCCUCCAAAAUUCUUCUAAAACCCCUUUUUCAAUAAUGCUAAGCUUAAUGCCAAAAAUACCCUUAUUUCUAAAUAAACACAUUUAAUUUGUGAAUCUUUUAAUUUUUAUUAUUUUCUCGCUCCUCACAAACAAAAUUUUAUGGGUGAUAAGUUUCUUGAUAAAAAUCAAUUAAUAAAAUAAAAUAUCUGUAAGAUUAUAAUGUAAAAAGUUUUAUUAUGAGCCUUAAAAAAAGGUAGAUAAUUUUUUCAAAAUGUGUUUUGUUUAUUAUCAAUAGAUUGUCUUAGUAAUUGAAGAAAAAUUUACAGAGAAUUUGAGAAAAAAAUUACAUGUGUGAGUUUGAUGGCAGAGAAAAUACAAGAGCUUUUUUUUUAAGAGAGAAAAUACAAAAGUUUGAAGUGAGAUAAAAUAGAUGUGAGAUAUAUUAGAGUAUUUGUCCUUAAAUGUAAUUGUAAUAGAAGAGGAAGUUUAAAAGGAUUUUGAAGGGGUGUCAAUAGUCCAACUCUUUGGCUUAAUCUUAUAUGACAAUUCACAUCAUAUAAUUAUUCACAUAUAAGCGCAACAUUGGAUCAAGGAUCCAACCAUACCAGAUUAAAGAUCCAACAACCUUUCACUUGGACUAUAUAUAUAACUUUGUAAUUAUACUUUACAAAAAUAACUAUAUGAGGUCAACUUUACUGUCAUUACCAAAAUGCAUCUAUAGCCAAUUCGGUCCAUCUAUCAUACCAACAUAGGAUCAAAAUGACCUUUAUUACAAAUAUCGUAACUUGACCCAUCAAUGCUCACUAUGCCAGCAUAACUUAAUGACAUAGAUCAUGAUAUGGUGUAGGAUGGAAAUUUUAUGUAAUGUGAUUUCAACAUGCCUAUUUUCAAUUGAUCCACCUUAAACAUUAGUGAGAUCAAAUUAUACAAAAUUAGAGUGUAAAUAAACCAAAAUUUUAUUUCUGUAGAAAAUAGCCUUAAAUAUCCCCAAACCGAAAAAUGUUUAUAUCAUAAAAGCAUUUAAAAGUUACAAACUCCCAUUAAAAAUGAAUAUCAAUAUCCUUUAAUGACAUGACACCCAUAUGAACAAUGUGCUCAUGAAACAUUUUAAAUGACAUUCCCUUAGUAAACGGAUCUGUAAUCAUGGAGUUUGUACCAUUAUACUUUAUAGACAAUUGUCCACUCUGAAUUCCUUAGGAACUUGAUGUCUAUAUACUGUGACAUCGUUGAGCUCUUAUUGUUAUUGGAAUAUAGCACUGCUGACUUAUUGUCACCAAAUAACUUAAGUGGUCUAUCAUAAGGGUGUCAAAAAAGCCUGCCCGGACCGGACCCGGCCCCCGGACCGCAUGCACAUAAAAACCGGACCCAGGUUUGAAAUUCUCAAACCCGGACAUUUCCGGGCCCGGGUCCGGGUUCAACACCAAAAACCCGGAACCCGGACCGGACCCGGUUUUUUAAUAAAUUUUUUUAAAAAAUAUAUAAAUAUAUAAUUAUGAAUUUAUGAUAUGUUGGAUGUUAUUUAAAUUUAUUGUGUGAUUAUUGUGUUGUUGAAUUUAAUUUAUUUAUUUUAUAUAUAGAUUGAAUGAGUUUAAGUUAGAAAUUGGAUGAAUUUAGGUAUUAGAAAGUGGAUUGAAAUAAUUUUAAUUUAUCAUUUGUGCAAAAUUUGCAUUGUUAGUGUGUUAUAUAUUUGUAUUUGACUAUUUGCUUUUUUAAAGUUUGAGAUUGAAUGAGUUUAUUUGAUUAUUUUCUUUUUUUAAAUUUGCAUUGUUAGAGAAAUGAAAGAAAAAAUUGAAGAAAAAAAUUGAAGUUAUCACAUGCGGGUUUAGAAAGCCCGGAUCAAAACCCGGACCCGGAAGGUGCCGGGCUCAACCCCGGACCGCACCCGAAAAAAUUGGGUUUUAACCCGGGUUCGGUCUUGUAUUUCUCUCAUCCAGUCCCGGGCAACACCAAAACCCGGACCGGACCCAAAUUUUGUCAAGCCUAGUCUAUCAAUACUAUUUAAAAUGAGUAAUUCUAUGACGAAAUUUUGUAGCCAUAUUCCUUGAUUGGAUAUUUCGUAACAUGCUGUGAACUCCGCUGCUAUAGUAGAAAAGGCUAUAAGAGACUGUUUAGCACUCUUUCAGGAAACAACACCCCUAGCCAGUAGCUAGAUGUAACCAAAAGUAGAUUUCAUAUUAUCUUGGGAUCUAACAAAAUCAGAGUUAGCAUAAUGAUCUCAAGCUGAUCUAACUUUCGAUGUAGUCUUUUGUUCUCUGUAAGUAUCGCAAGACCCGUUUGGCUGUUUCCCAAUAGUUUACCCCUGGAUUACUUAAAUAUCUAUCCAACAUUCCAGUAAUGUAUGCAAUAUUCAGUUGCGUACAAACCUAAACAUACAUCAGACUUUCUAUUACUGAUGUAUAAGGAAUCUUCUACAUUUUUUAUUCCUUAAAAUCAUCAUUAGGGCACUAAUUGUGUAACAUCCAUUAUUUUUGUUUUAUUUAUUUAUUUUUUAUUAUUUUACUACUACUACUACUACUACUACUACUACUACUACUACUACUACUACUAUUAUUAUUAUUAUUAUAUCUAUUUUAGAGAAUAUAGUAUUUUAGGCUAAUGAUUUUAAGCGUGUUUUAAUUUUUCUUUAUUUAUUUGAUUUACCAAUUUAGUAAAUACCUUAUUAAAAAAGGAAAUAAAUUCCUAAAUAGGUAAGGGUGUUAAAAGGCUUGGCUUUAUAAAAGCUUCUCUUGCGUUGUUUUAUUUCUCAAAAUCCUAGAGGCUGAAUACAACAACACACACAAGAGUAAACCUUUUUUUUUUAAGAAGAGAAGUAGAUUUUGAUUGGUUUUUUUCUUUUCCAUAAAGAAAUUCUUGAGUUUUGAAUUUGUUUUGAAGGAUUUAGCCUUCUGGUUUUAUUUGUGAUUUUAUGUGAUUGAUUGAAUGAUUUUGUGUGUAUUACAUUGAUAAAAUUGUGAAAGCAUGAUCAUCUAUUGAUUUAUGUUGUUAUUGAGUGAAAGUGGUGCUAUUAUUUUAUCUUGAAAACAGUGAACAACAUAGAUUCAAUGUUUUAUGACUGCUGUUUUCAUUAAGUCUCAUGCAUAAAAUUUUAUAAUUUAUUAAACUAGACAUCUUUAUCUUUCUAUUUAUAUGUUUAUCGUUCAAAACUCAUUGUAUAUUAAUUUUUUUGAUUUUUCAAAAUUGGAACACUAGUGUUGGAAAAUUCCAAUUUUCAGCAGCAGUUCUCGUUACUAUAAUUUAUUUGGUAACUCAAACGAUUUCUGAAAAUUCUAGGAACGUUUUUCAUUUUACACAUAUAUGUCUAGUUUCUGUAUACUUAAAUUCCUAAUUUUUGGCUUUAUAUAAAAAUAAUUAAAAAUCAUAGAGCUAGGCUACCGUAAUAUUGGAAAUUGUUUUCUAGAAUUGCGAGGGUUGAUAUUGAAGCGAGUUUGGGUUACUUUUUCAUAGUGAAUGCUAGGGGUGGGCAAAAUACCCGACCCGAUCCGACCCGAAAAAAUUCGGGUUCGGGUCGGUUCGGGUUGUUAUUGAAACCCGAACGGGUGAAAAAUUGCAAACCCGAUCGGGUUGUGAUUGGGUCGGGUAAAACCCGAUCCGAUCCGAAUACCCGAUCGGGUCGCACAAAAAAAAAAAAUCACUAAACCUAUAAACACAUCACACAUGCACACACCAGACACCAGACACCACACACACGGCCAUGCAAAGUUACAACUCAAAAAGUCACAAAAACAAGUGGCUAAAAAAAUAUUGACAAAUAAAAAACAAAAUAUAAUUAUAACCCACGCACACAGGCCACAGCCACACACAAACAUUGAAACAUAUCUUCGCUGCCUUCACAGCCCUCAUCCCCACAGCCCUCAUCCUUACACUCACAACUUCACACACACACACAAAUAUCGCAAAAGCCAAAAGCAAAGCGGCAGCUAGCAGCCAACGCAGAGAAGAGAACGGAGGAAGCGCAGCCAGUGCAUGCAGCCACCUAACCCGUGACUGGAUCUACUGCUCCGCGACAUCCGUAGCUACCAGAUCUGCUGUUGCCGGAUAUCUACAGGAUCUGUUGCUGCUGGAUCCGCUGCGCUGCUAUCGGAUCUGCUGUUGCAGCCUCCACCAUCACCGAGUUCCACCGCGAAGGUGCGAACCGGCAACUCGAAUUCUUUUCUUUUUUUGAUGUUUUGAUGGGAUAUAAUAAUAUAUUAUAUAUUAUCUGUUAAUUGCUAAGUAUAUGUAUUGUUAAAUGUUAAUAAUAAAAUGAGGGAAAUUCUUGUAUGGAAAGUUUUGGAGUUUAAUUUAUUAAGUCUGUGGAAGCUUAAAUAAUAAGUAUGAAUUGAUUUCUUUUUUUUUGUUUUGUUUUUAAUGAAUAGAUUAAGCAAAUUAAGCAUUAAAAUUAAAUAUUUUGCAUUUGAUCUGUGCAAUGUUUCACCCGAUCCGAAUUAACCCGAAUUUAACCCAAUUAUUUGACCCGAUCCGAUCCGAUCCGAAUAUAUUCGGAUCGGGUUACAACUUCGGGUUGAGUUCGGAUGAAUUCUUUUCUAACCCGAUCAACCCGAAAUCCAAUCGGGUUGAUCCGAACCCGACCCGAACCCAAAAAUGCCCACCCCUAGUGAAUGCCUUAUAAAUUUAACUUUUAUAUUCAAUGCAAACGUGUUCACAAUAGUUUUUUGUAAUAUUUUUGAUUUUUCUGACAUAAUUAUAGCUUGUUAGAAAUUAACUCUUACAAGACGAUCGAGUGUAGUUUAGUGAAUUGAUGUGCUUUAGUAAGAGUAAAUGGUUUAAGGAUAUUUUGGCUUUCUUAUCAACGUCAAAAUUGAAAAAAAAAAUUGAUAAGAAUCUUAUCUUGAUAAUUAUAGGCCAAGAACGAGCUCGUGUGAUUGGGGUUAUUGUUGAUUGCUUCGUAUUGAGUUAAGUGAACUCAUGCAUAAUGUUUAUUAUAGUUAUAUAUGUAAAUAUCUAGAAAAGAAUAAUGUUAUUCAUAUAAAUUGACAUUUUAUGGUUUUGAAGUUAUUUUACUCUUAUAUUUUAUGAUAAUAAAUAAUGUUUUGAUUAAAACUUUAUUUAAAAUAUUUUCUUAAACUAUUUAAAAAAUAACUUUAAAAUAAUUGUCUUUCCAUAAAUUGGUCUUCCUUAAAAAUAUUUGUUAAGCUUGCCAAUUCAAUGUCUUAUAAGAGCAUUUUAUCAUAAUAUUACUGAAUGAUUGAUAUUGAAAGACUGAAAUUGUAUUUAAGAUUUUGGCUCAUUAACCGUAGUUAUUGUUGCUGAUAUAACCGAACAUUUAACUAUAUUGUGCGCACCUAUUGAUGAUUAUAGUUGGGUAACGUACCCUAAUUGAACUACUAACCGAGUCAUCGGGGUUAUAGGUGACUUACUAAACUAAUACCGGGUCAUUAGGGUUAUAGGUGACUUAUUGAACCACUGGCCGGGUCACCGGAAGUACAGGCGACACUAUAUGACAUGAGCAAUUGAAUAAAUGAAUGGUUAUAUUGAUAAAUGAUUUCCGAAAUGAUUAUUUAUUAAAAAUGGUUAUUACAUUAUGAUUUAACUAAUUAUAAGUUUUAAUGUACACUUAUGGUACUUUAUAAUGAUUGUUUUGUAUUUUAUCGUUAUUAGUAACCUUAUGCAUGAGUUAGUGUUGAGUGUUAGAAAAUGCAUAUUUAUAAAGGAGAAAAUUGUCAUUUUACAUUUCAUGUCUUACUAACAGCCCUUACUUUUAUGUAUUUAAGCUUCUUGUAAUUUAAUUAUGUGUGUUUUAUUUUAAUUAAGUAUUUUAUGUAUUUUAGGGGCAUCAUGGUCAUUUCACAAUAAACGAGAGAUCAGACGGCAAAAUGGACAUCACUUUUGAACUCAGGACGGUUGAAAAUCUUAGGAGGAGCAUAAAAGGAAAAAUGACACUGUUCACAUGUACGGUACUGUCUAUGUUACUAUUCACGACACUGUUCACAUAGACGGAUCGAUGAUGUGGCAUUGACCGAUGAUGUGGCAUUGACUGAUGAGGUGUCACGAUCCUGUUGGACUAAAAUUCUUAUGCACUGUUGAUUGAUGACGUGGCAGCAUAUCAGUGGACCAAAAAUCUCGCGUACGGUACAUGCAUUAUACAGGAUUAUUUUCAACCAAACUGAGUCACUGUUCAACUCGGGGCAAACCGUGUUACUGUUCAUCCAAGUGGUCAAACCGCAUACUGUUGACUGAUAACGUGGCGCAAUCCUGAGCGUCCAAACUGUUUUUAAUCCGAUGGCCACGAUUUACUUAAUGUAUCUACAAAAAGGGGGCCUCCCCUCUAAUUUGAUACCUCUGAAUCCAUUUUUUGGAUCCAUUUUCUAUAAUUCCUUCUCCAUCUUGUAUUUUCUACGUAUUUUAAUAAAUUUCUAUUUUGCCCCUAGUUCAAUUAUGAGUAACUAAUUUUCUUUCAAGCUUGGGUUGAAGGUGAAGUCUCAACAUGUGUCAUGGGCUUUAUUUGGUAAAUUUAUUUUCUCUUCCCCUCUAGUUUUUGUGGAUGUUUUGACUUCUCGUCGAUAAAUAAUAAUAAUAUUGUUUAGUACCGCCUUGGUUUCACCGGCUCCCUAAUACAAAGUUAUUAUUAUUUGGCACGAUAAGCCCUUAGCACCAUAUUGAUUAGAGCGUAGUUCAUGAGGUGUGAAUUCCCCCCUCAUGAUUUAAUUGGUAUUAAUAAGGAAUAUUUAGCCCAUGGUGCAUUUGAUAUGAAUUCAAAUACCCAAGUACGUCAAUUUAAUAGAUUUUCACUUUAAUUUCUUCUCGCCAUUUCAAUUCCAAUUUUUAGGAUAAUUUAAAUCACUUCCACCACAAAUCCAACCACCUCAUACAAAAUUAAUUCUAUAUAUAAUUAAAAUCCACCUCCUCGUGAGAUCGACACUCGUCACUAUUAGUCUAUUAUACAAUAGAUUCGUAAGCUUGCGAGUUCAAUAAAAUUUGCACAACAAGUUUUUGGCGCCGUUACUGGGGAGGUAAGUUAUUUUAAUUUGUAGAAUUAAUUUUUGUCAAUAAUUUCUUUUAUUUGUUUUCUUUUUUUUUCUUAUUAAAAAAAAGGGAAAAAAGAGAGUGAAUUUGCAUUGAGAGAUUAGUAUUUCUUUUCUUUUUCUCUUCUUUAAAAUUCUGUAAUUUAAUUUUCAAGUUAUUUUUUUCUUCUUUGUAAUUUUUGUUUAUCUUACUAAUUUUUUUAAGUUAAUUUAUUUCACGUAUUUUUUUGUGUGUAUUUUUAUAGUAAGGUUGUAAUAGCGCGAUAAGGUUAGUAUCGUAAUUUCUCCCUCUUCUUUAUUUUUAUUUGUUUUGUUCCCAUCUUUAUUUUUAUUUUAUUUGUUUUACAUGCAUAGUCGAAGAUCAUUAUUACCUAAUCUUAAACCUAUAGACCUGGAACUAGAAAAAAUACUUCGCACACACAAGCACGUUAAAAAUAAAUUUGGAAUGGAUUUACAAGUACCACAAGAGAGGCCAUUUAAGGACUAUUUUAGUCCUUUAGCUAAUUUGAGCACAUCAUGUAUAAGAUACUCAAAUGUAGCUGCUACGAGUUUUGAACUAAGACCUAGUCUGCUAAAUUGUCUCCCAACAUUCUAUGGCCUAGAAAAUGAGGACCUUUAUAAUUAUUUGAAUGAUUUUCAUACUAUUUGUCAAACAUUUAAAUAUGAGAAUUUUUCAUAUGAUGAUGUAAAACUUAGACUAAUCCCAUUUUCUUUAAAGGAUAGAGCUCGUUCAUGGUUUAAUAUAUUGCCUGCUAAUACCAUUUCAUCAUGGGAACAAAUGGUAACGAAAUUUUUAAAUAAAUAUUUCCCAGUGCAUAAAACUAAUGCUAUUCGCAGGGAAAUUUCAAAGUUUACCCAUAGAGAAGAUGAGCAGUUUUUCGAAACAUGGCAGUAAUUUAAUGGGCUACUCUUGAAGUGUCCACAUCAUGGGUACGAGAAAUGACACCAAUGCCAAUACUUUUUGGAGGGAUUGUUGCUGAAUGUGUAAGAAUGACUAAUGGCAACAAGUGGAGGAGAGCUAAUGUCAAAAAGUGCAUCAGAGAUUUGGGAAUUCUUCUAGCGACAAGUGGAUAAUUCCCAACAACGGAGUCGAUCACUCAGGAAUACUAGAAGAAUUAAGGGAGUGAAUGAGGUUCACAUUGACGAGUCAACUUCAGGAAUCAAAGAAGUCAAGGAGAUGGUUGAAGGUAUCGCUCGACAAAUAGCAUCAUUAUCGACUGCUAAAUCAACAGAGCCACAUGACCAUGACUCAUACUCAGAUCAAGCCAAUACCAUAGGUGUAAUGAGAAGCCAUCAAAUUACAACCCAUACUCCAACACAUAUAACCCAGGAUGGAGAGACCACCCCAAUUUUUUAUGGUCUCAAGGAUUCCAACAGAAUGAAGCAGCAGCUCCAGCUCCACCAAUGCAACGAAUUCCUCAAGUUCCUCAAGCCUCUCAGCCACCAUUUAGACCAUACAAUCAGAACCAGAACUACUCUCAACCCAGACCAUGGGAGGAUGCAUUCCAGAAUUUCAAGAAUGUUACUCACUCUACGAUUGAGCAACAGAACCGCACCAUUGAUAGACUACGAAAUGAGUUGAGAGCAGGUUUCAACUCACAAGCCCAAUCAGUUUCAAGCCUUGAGAAGAUGGUGGGACAACUUGUUUCUUCAGUUCAGACCUUGGCAAUGACCGUUGAGAAAGGUAAAUUUCCAAGUCAACCAGUGCCUAAUCCUAAAGGAGUACAUGAUGCAAGUACUAGUUCACCACAGCAGCAUGGAGAGGUAAAAGUUGUCAUGACUUUGUGAAAAGAAAAAGAAGUCGACAACAAAGUGGAGAUGUAGGUGAUAAAAGAAAAUCAAAUUGUACCUGUAAAUGUUGAGGACUCAUCACCGGAGGAGAAAGAAGAAACGAACCUACGAGAAUAUGUUCCUAAAUCUCCAUUUCCUCAGAGGUUAGUAAAAGGAAAAAAGGAAAAAUUCACAGGUGAGAUUCUUGAAAUCUUCAAACAGGUAAGUGUUAACAUCCCUUUGUUUGACGCUAUAAAACAAGUUCCAUCUUAUGCUAAGUUUCUUAAAGACCUUUGUAUUAAAAAGAGAAACAUUCAUGUUCAAAAGAAGGCAUUUUUGACAGAAAACGUUAGUUCUAUACUCCAACAUAAAAUUCCUCUAAAAUGCAAAGACCCAGGCUCCCCCACUAUCUCAUGUAGUAUAGGGAACCACACAAUUGAAAAUGCUUUGUUGGAUUUAGGAGCUAAUGUAAAUCUGUUGCCUUAUUCAGUUUUCGUGAAACUUGGAUUGAGAGAAUUACACCCAACUCCAGUGGGGUUGCAGCUUGCAGAUCGGUCCACGAAAAUACCUCGUGGCAUUAUGGAAGACGUGCUUAUCCAGGUAGACAAGUUUUAUUUUUCUGUUGAUUUCAUUGUAAUUGACACUCAACCAAUUCAGGAUUCAAGGAAGCACAUCCUCAUUAUUCUAGGCCGACCUUUCUUGGCAACUGCAAAUGCUCACAUUCAAUGCAGGACUAGAAAUAUGCAGUUGUCCUUCGGCAACAUGACUAUGGAGCUGAACAUCUUCAACAUUGCCAAAUAACCUCACAAUGCAGAUGAUAAAAUUGUUGAUGCGGAUUUAAUAGAAACAUUAGUUGAUAAUACCUUUGUUUCAAACCUUAGUGAUGACCCUUUACAAACAUGUUUAACUCAUUUUGGUUUGGAUUUUGAUAUUGACAGAUCAGUCGAUGAGGUCAACGAAUCACCGUUUAAUUCCAGAAACGAGAUUAUGUGUCUGUCCGUUUACCCUUUCACCGUUUGCCACAAUCGGUGAACCGUUUUUCAACAGAGAGUCCUCUAACAGUUACUCCUUAGCCGUUAAGCGCUUAGGCUUUCACCGUUUCCCUUUCUUCAGCCUCUGGAAGUUACCCUUUAACCGUUUUCGCGAAGUCUAAAAUCUGUUCAAAGGUUUUCUUCUCCUUCUCCAGUUACCCUUUCACCGUUUCCUCCAUUGUUGCGCAGCCGAAGGUUUCUUUGUCCUCAAAUCCUCAUUUUUUCUUGCUUUCCUUGCCAAAUCAAACCUUCAAAAUUAUUUCUUAUCACCUUUAGAACAAUUCUACCGAUUCAAAACUUCAAAUCGAGCCCAAAAUUAAAAAAUCCCAAAUCUAAACCCUAACUGUCGCGGGUCGGGUUUCUUCAUUCUUAAUCCGAUUUCCACAUUUCUUCAACCAAAUUGAACAUCCUACUCACAUCCUCUACUCUUCUUUAAACCUUUUAUCGAUUUACUUUCGUCCCAUUACGUGUUUCCAUGGCUGAACCCUCUCGGAGAAAUCCCAGGCGUAAAUCUGUGCCCCCAAUGAAUCCCAUACCACCUCGGGAGGUCUCUGAGUUUUCAAGGAUUCACUUCCCCACACCUGCCUUGGCUAAGCGGUUCGAAGAUCGCUUUGAUGGUCGAAAGGUACUUGAUCCUUUUUUUGUUGAUAUUGAUAAUUUCCGCAACUUAGUUGUAUGUGGUAGAAGCAUUAGGGAUAUGCUUCAGCCUUGGGAGGCUGCCAUUGAUUUUGAUGACCGAGUUUAUCCAAACUUAGUGCGAGUCUUUUAUUCGAACAUGGAAAUCUCCGACACUCGCCUAAAUAGGAUAGUUACUCAUGUCGGCCGUGUGCCAAUAGAGUUUGAUGAUGCGGACCUAGCUGACCUUCUUGGUAUCUCUUGUGAGGGGCUUGAUAUUUACACCUCUAGGAAAGCCCUCUCCUUUGAUAGUUUUUCUCAUACUCAUGGCGUCCGUAAUAUAUGUCGUCGUCAAGACUUAUCGGAUGAGAUUUGUUUGCUUCCGUUUCGGUCUCAACUUUUACCUCUCCAAGUUCGUAUUCUUCACACUAUUUUACAGCACAUAGUGACUCCUAGGAAGGGUCACUCGGAUGAGGUUACGAGGUUGGACGUUCCCUAUUAGAUAGCCUUCUUACAGACCGUCCCAUUAACCUCGGGUAUAUUAUUGUGCGACAUAUGUUGAGUACUCCAGCGAUCAACCAUCGCUUGCUUCCUUAUGGCAGUAUCAUCACUAAAAUACUGCGACGCUUUGAGGUGCCACUUCUUGAUAUUGGACAUAUGGAGACUCGACGGAUUGGUUCCGAGGCCAUGACCAGUAUCGGAUUCUCUAGAAAGAAUGGAGUGUGGAUAAAGACAAGCAACUCCAAAAACCGGGAUACCUUGAUUGCUCCAGAGGACGAUCGGAUGCUCAAUGAUGUCUAUUCUCCCGAUCAGCUUCUUGACUUUAGAUUAGGAGCUCAUCCUCAUCCUCCGCGUCGCCAUUUUUUCCCUCGGCCUCCAGCUGACUCAGACUUUGAGGAGCGUGCGAUGGAUGCUGAUAUUCCCUCCUCUUCCGAGCCGCCUCCUGCUCCUGAGCCUUAUGCUGUUCCCGAGCAGCCAUCUGCCUCUAUGCCGCCUCCAGCUCCAGUUCAGCCCCUUGCUUCAGAUGCAGUGCAGCAGCUGAUUACUGAUGUUCAGCGGAUUUCGGAGCGACAGCAGCUGAUUCUUGAUCGGUUGGACAUCAUUUCCCGUGAUCACCAGCAGCUCCGCUCUGACUUUCAGAUUUUCCAGCAGCAGAGCAUUGACCAGUAGCUCAAGCUUAUCGCCGGACAGCGCACUCUUCUCAGCUAUUUCGGCUAUGAUCCGGGGAGCACAUCUUCUCCGCCUCCAUAGUUUCUGAGUUCUGUUUUCGCACAUACAUUUUUCCAUUUUGGUUGUUAGCUUUUUCAUACUUCGUAUAUGGAUUUUGAUGCAUAUGUGUGUGAUGUUCUUGAUGAUUAGAUGAUUGAUGCUUUGUGAUUGAAUAAUUGUUGGUAUGUUUGUGGAUAUUGAAGUGUUCUUUUGUUUUGAUCAUGGAGUUGUUGGCUUGUUGAAAGAAGAAGUUGGUGUCAAUCUAUUUUUUGAAGUGUUCUAUCUCAUUUUGUAUAAGUGGUUUUGAUCAUUUUUAAGGGGAAACUCUGCCAAAAUUUUCGCUCGCCAAAGCCGGGCAACUUCUUUAAUGGAUUUGUGUAUUUCUUAUUUCUUCUUUUCUUUUUGAUGAUGAAGGGGGAGAUAAUUAUGGUUUUUAAGAUGGUUUUUAAAUGGGGAGAUAUUAUUUUAAGAUGGAUUUAAAAUGGGGAGAUUUAAAGAAAAAAUCCUUUUAUUCAUAUUUCUCAAUUUGUCCAUACAUGUAGGGGGAGCACAUAUUAAGGGGGAGCUAAACAUUGAAUGAAAUUUGUCAUCAUAAAAAAUGGGGAGAUUGUUAACAUAAAUAUGUUAAUAAUAUUGAUUUUGAUGAUAACAAAUUUUAUAUGGUUUUUGACAAAAAUAUUGGAGAUAUUUCUUAAUAAACGAAAGCCCUUUUAUUCAUUGCCUUAUUUUUUCAUAAAAGAUGGACUUUCAAAUUAGAAAGAGAUUCUCUACAAAAAAAAAAACUCGUUUAAAAUUGCAAUUCUGGUUAUAAACGGUUAACCAUUUUAAACGAUUAAAGGCAGAGAGCAACAUAUUUCCUAAACCUUUAACCGUUUAUGAAAAACGGAAAACACAAAAGAUGGGAAGGUUACUGGAACUUAACGGUGAACCGUUUAUUUUAAACGGUUAACCGAUUAACACCAGAGAGCGACAUAAUGCCUAAAGCUCUAACCGUUUAUGAAAAAUGGAAAUCACCAAGAAUGGAAAGGCUACUGGAACUUAACGGUGAACCGUUUAUUUUAAACGGGUAACCGAUAAUGUCCAGAAUUGAAGGUUGUCCUCCUCUGGCACUGAUUAACGAAAAAUGAUAAGGCUAAAUUAUUUUGCAGGUUACUGGAGACAAACGGCGAACUGUUUAUUUCAAACGGUUAACCGAUAAUAUCCAGAAACGUUACUUCACGCAAGUUCUUAACCGUUUAGCGUAAACGGAUAACAAAUGCUCAUCUUGCAGGUCUCUGGUAGUUAACGGCUAAAGGUUAAUUACAAACGGCAAACCGUUUAUUUGAAAUCUAGCCCAACGGUAACUUUGACCAACCGAAACGGUUAACCGUUUAGGGUUAACGGCGAACCAUUUUCUGUCCGACAGUUUGUAACGGCUAGAUUUUCAGCUCCAGAUAUAAAUAAGCUCAUUCAAAUUCAAAGAAGGUUGAUCACAACACGACCAUUUUGAGCUAAUAUUCGAGAAUGCAAUCUUCAUAGAGCUUAGAACACAUUAUUGCUUCAUCUAUUCACAUAUUAAGCAUCAUUGUGUAAUCUUAUAUAUUGUGAGAGGUAAAACAGUUUGUAAUCUUUUACUUUGAGUGAUUGUAAGUGUUGGGAUACACUUGGGUUAAGAGAUUGGGGAUAAUCUCUUGUUGUAAAGGUCCAUUGACACCUUGGAAGUCAAGUGUAAGCAUUUGAAGCCUUGGAGGCUUGCUUAGUGGAAUCCUCAAGCCCGGAAAGCUUGGAGGCGUGGACGUAGGCGAGGUUGGCCGAACCACGUAAAAAUCUCGGUGUUUGAAUCCCUCUUCCCUUAUCUUUUUAUAUUGUGAUCAUCUUAAUUGUUAUUGCUUUGAAUUUGAUUUAUAAUUGCAUUAAGAUUUUCUUUAAUAAAUUGAAUAAUUUUUUAGAAUCCCAAUUCACCCCCCCUCUUGGGUUGCAUACUUGUAUUUCAUAUUUUCCACAUAUACCGGUAUAGUCUCUGACUUUUCUUUUACACUGCUAUCAUCUUCAUCUCUCGUUUGCAGUUGAUCUUCUAUAAAGAUAACAUCUCUGCUGAUGAUGAUCUUGUGGGCAGUGGGGUCCCACAGACGAUACCCUUUUACUCCAUCAGCAUAUCCCAAGAAGAUACAUCUUCUAGAUUUUGGAUCCAGUUUUGUUCUUUCUUGGGCAUUGUACAUCACGUACACAGGACAUCCAAAUGCAUGUAGGUAGGAAUAAUCAGCUGGCUUUCCAGUCCACAUCUCCAUCGCUGUCUUCAGCCCAAUAGCUGUAGAUGGCGACCGAUUUACUAUAUAACAAACAGUUUUGGCUGCUUCUGCCCAAAAUGAAUUGGGUAGACCAGCAGUCCUCAACAUAGCUCUUAUUCUUUCUGUAAGAGUUCUGUUCAUCCGCUCCGCCACUCCGUUUUGUUGAGGAGUGUAUGCUACAGUGAACUGUCUCUGAAUACAUUCUUGCUUACAGAAAGCAAGAAACUCGCCGUCUGUAUACUCUCCACCAUUAUCCGUCCUCAAUUACUUGAUCUUUUUACCAGAUUCAAGUUCCACCCGCGCUUUGUAUUCUUUAAACACUGGAAAUACAUUUGACUUUUUUUUAAUUGGAUACACCCAACAUCUUCUGGAAUAAUCAUCAAUGAAAGUCACCAUGUACUUUGCACCUCCCAUGGAUAUAUCCGGUGAUUCCCAAACAUCAGAAUGAAUCAAGUUUAGAAUGCAUUUACUUCUAGCAAUAGAUCUACUAAAUUUUAAUUUAUGCUGCUUACUUGUAACACAAUGCUCGCAAAAUGGUAAACUUACCGAUUUGAGCCCCGGAAGCAAUUUUCGCUCAGAGAGAAUCUUCAAGCCUUGUUCUGACAUGUGGCCAAGUUUGAGAUGCCACAUCAUCGUUGACUCUUCUCCAUUUGAUGCGACACACGCAUCAGCCUCCUGUAGUGUUUCUCCUUUAAGCAUGAAUAGAUUAGCACUGAUCUUUUCUGCAUUCAUCAAUACAAGCGCGCCUUUAACGAUCUUCAUAAUUCCAUUCUCCACAUGAGUUUUGUACCCAUGACUAUCCAUUUGUCCCAAAGACAAAAGAUUUUUCUUCAGGCCGUUGACAUGGCGUACCUCCCCAAUUGUGCGAAUUGUACCAUCAAACAUUUUUAUUUUGAUAGUACCAAUACCAGCGAUCUCCAAGGCAUGAUCAUUACCUAUAUAUACAGAUCCUCCUGAGAUAGGUUCAUAUGUGUGGAACCAUUCUCUCCGAGAGGUCAUGUGCCAGGUAGCUCCUGAGUCUAUAAGCCAGACAUCAGAUAGUCGUUUUCUGCCUUUUGAAACAAUUGUUGCCUCGCUGUAAAGAAUUUCGCCAUCAUCCGAGGUACUUGCUAUACACCCUUGAGCAUUUGAUGACUCAGGUUUUUUGCCCUCUUUUCUCUUCUGGUUACUCCAACACUCUUUCUUGACGUGCCCUUUCUUGCCACAGUUGUAGCAUUUAACAUUCUUCUUACUUCUGGAUUUUGAUCUACCAUGAUUUUGACUCCCACUAGGGCCACGUUCCGUUGAUCUCCCUCUCGUCACCGAUAGCGCCUCCGUUUGCUGUGAACUUACUUGUCUGUUUUCCUUAUUUUUUCGCCUGCUCUCCUCAUUUAAUACGGAGGCUGCAACAUCGUCAAAAACUAGACUGUCCACUGGAUUAUUGUUCGUCAGGUUGAUGAUGAGUUGAUCAUACGAAUCUGGUAGACUUUGAAGUAGAAGCUCUGCACGUUCAUUUUCCUCUAUAUUAUGACCCAACGUUGUGAGUUGUGAAAAUAGAGUCUUCAAGGUGUUGAUGUGGUCGGUCACCAUUGUAGAUUCCGCCAUUCGAAGAGUAUAAAGUUUCCUCUUCAAGAAAAUUUUGUUGUGUAGUGACUUGGCCUCGUACAAUUUUGUGAGAGUAUCCCAAAUUUCCUUCGUUGUGUUUUUCUCUGCCACACUGGAUAAUACUCCGUCUGCAAGUGCCAAGUGUAGAUCAGAAAUGGCGUUGCCGUCUACCUCGUUCCACUUGUCAUCAGUUAUCUCCAUGGGCCUUUCUCCAAUUGCUGCCAAGCAAUUAUUUUUCCUCAAUACAGCUUUCAUCUUCAUUUUCAACAAUGAAAAAUUAUUUCCGUUAAACUUCUCAAUUUCAUACUUUGCCACCAUUUUGUUGAUAAAUACCGCACACAAGCUAGUGUACCACCUUGAAUAGUUGUGAGUAUGUGUGAGAAUGCACACCAGGAAAGUUCCCAGGAAAGACUGGAGGGGUCACAAUGGUCCCACUUAAAACCCAGACUCAUUAAGCUCUUAUCGCCUUUGUGAUAGAACUUUCCUAGACAUGUACAAAACCACACAGUUGCUAUUACUCACACCACUAUUCUCUGCUUUGCAUCACAAAAUUCUUGGAUCGCUUCCACCGUUUCUUGUGAAUAGUACCGUAUACGUGAACAUUACCGUUUACGUGAAUAGUACCCCUUACGUGAACAGUACCCGACUCCAAAAAUACAACCAAUAGCUCUGAUACCACUGUUAGGAAAUUGGUAGGUGAAGCAGACACGCAGCUAGAAUAAAAUUGAAAGAAAAAUAAAGAACAAGUACAAAAAAUGGACACCAGAAAUUACGUGGUUCGACUUUUAGCCUACAUCCACGGGCGAAGACAGAAGGAAAUAUUUUACUAGUGAAAAGGAGUUACAAGUAUUGUAGUAUUUUAGCUCACUUCCCAAAAUCCCAAUACACCCAAACUCUCAGAACACUAAUCACUCAAGAGUUUAUUAAACUCUUAAUACUCUCAACACUAAAAGAAAGCAAUAUUUCUCUCUCGAUGGAAUUGGAUACAAGCUCUAGAUUGAGAGCUUGUAUUUAUAGGCAAAAAUUUGCCUCAAAUGUCAAACAAGUGGCCAUAAACUUCAAGCCAUACAUCUUAAAAAUUUCAAACUUUGAAUUUUUAGCUUUGAAUUUUUCUUUUCUUUUACCAAACAUUACGGCAUCUAGAAUUUCAAAGCCAAGUGCCAACCAUUCUUGUUUAUUCAAAGCUUCUAGAUGCAGCCAAUUUUGACAAUUACACAUAUAUAAGAGUAUGUCGUCAGGUCCAUACUAGUAUUUUUACACAAGCGGUCACCUCAAUUGCUUUAGGAGCAAGAUGAGAUGAGACAAGUAGAAUAAUAAAACAAUAUUUUUGUGUGAGAGCCAAAUAAAAAGCGUUAUUCUACAAGUUUUUUUGCCUUGACUAGAAUCAAGAGGUCUCACACGAUUUUCAUUAUAGACUGACUAUGAUAUACCCCACCAUCAUGGAGACUUCAUUGAAGCCAGAUGUGAGAUCUUUACUUUUUACGCUAGAAGAGAGCGUUCAUUCUAAAAGAGUGACUAGACUAAGAUCUAUAGUCCUGGAAUGGAAAAUUUAUCGUAACGAGUGUAUCAUACCAUGCGUGCUUGGUAAUCAAAAUGGAAAAUGAAAGAAUCUUCAAUCUUUCUAAUUGUGUAAGUUCCAUAUAACUUUUUAUAAGUCAAUCCUGGUAUCAUCUUCUUCUCUUCUUCGUGAAGAUUAAAAUUAAGAACAUUGAACAAUCCAUAAAAAGGGCAUUUAUACUGUGAUUAGAUAAGGAUUUCCGCUUGCGAUUUCUUCUGACCAUUAACAUGAUCCAGUACUCGAUUACUCCGCUGCUGAAUUCAAUAAGAAAAAUAUUUCUAGAAUUUUCAUUUUUCCUUCAGACCAUGUAAGAAGCAUACGAACAGGAUGAUCCGGAGUCAAAAGGUGAACGAGGUGACGGCUCGUCCGUUAGUACUAUUAAUGUAUAAGGUAAUAUGGGAAUUACUAAUAAUUAAUCGACUAGCUGAUUUGUUAGUUAUGAUUAUCAAUGACGGUCUAUUUCCUGCCCAUAUUUUACCAUGCUGUUGAAUGGUCCCCUUAAAAUAAUCCAGAUCAGUCAUUUGCAUAAAAAUAUAUCAUGAGCGGUUAGGUGGAGGAUGCUGAUUUGUUAGAAAAUAAUUGUUUUCAACUCUUGCGAUUGUCUGCACCCUGCACUCUUGUUCCAAAACCAAUACAAAACUGUAGCAAUCUUAAGAGGAUUUGUGGAACAAAAGAUGGCCAAGAUUGGAGGUUCUCUGCUUGUUCCUUGUGUUCAAGAGUUGGUCAAGAAUCCUAUGUUAGUUGUCCCUCCUAGAUACAUUUGUCCGGACGAAGAUUCACCACUCAAUUCUGAUGAUACUUUGAUUUCACAGAUACCAGUUAUUGACAUGCAGAGCUUGCUUUCUGAAGAAUCAAUGGAUUCUGAGUUAGCCAAGCUCGACUUCGCUUGCAAAGAAUGGGGUUUUUUCCAGGUAAAAUGCUUUAGCAGAGUUAGAAAGAUUUUUCAUGCUUGUCUGUGAUUUAAGAAUCAUGAAAUCUGCAAAACUCUCAGUCACAAAAUAUCUAUUUUUGAAACCCAGUUUCCAUUGAUUUAGCAUGUCAUGAUUUCAAAUUUUCCCAUCUAGUCCUUUUGCUGCUUUCAGUGCUUCUACGACUGCAGCUUGUGAAAUGUCAAGGAAGUUGUCUCUUGUUUUAUUGUACAAUUUAUGAGGCGAUAUGAGAAGAAAACACUCACCAUUUAUUUCUGAAACCCAG
This 23988-nucleotide long non-coding RNA is filed under the name Citrus maxima (pomelo). RNAcentral describes it as "long non-coding RNA (CMAX_LNC002245)". Lineage: Eukaryota; Viridiplantae; Streptophyta; Magnoliopsida; Sapindales; Rutaceae. The record is from RNAcentral.